RNAcentral lists this ribosomal RNA (433 nucleotides) under uncultured Actinomycetes bacterium. RNAcentral describes it as "bacterial SSU rRNA". It matches the Rfam family "Bacterial small subunit ribosomal RNA", at positions 958 to 1385 of the family's 1533-position model. The record is from RNAcentral. Lineage: Bacteria; Bacillati; Actinomycetota; Actinomycetes.
AACGCGAAGAACCUUACCAAGGCUUGACAUAUGCCGGAAACGGCCAGAGAUGGUCGCCCCCUUGUGGUCGGUAUACAGGUGGUGCAUGGUUGUCGUCAGCUCGUGUCGUGAGAUGUUGGGUUAAGUCCCGCAACGAGCGCAACCCUUGUUCUGUGUUGCCAGCAUGCCUUUCGGGGUGAUGGGGACUCACAGGAGACUGCCGGGGUCAACUCGGAGGAAGGUGGGGACGACGUCAAAUCAUCAUGCCCCUUAUGUCUUGGGCUGCACACGUGCUACAAUGGUCGGUACAAAGGGCUGCGAUGCCGCGAGGCGGAGCGAAUCCCAAAAAGCCGGCCUCAGUUCGGAUUGGGGUCUGCAACUCGACCCCAUGAAGUUGGAGUUGCUAGUAAUCGCAGAUCAGCAUGCUGCGGUGAAUACGUUCCCGGGCCUUGUA